AAACAUGCAGCUUAGUGGCCUUAGUUUUGCAAAAACUACAGAGAAAUAUAUUAUUUCCAUGUUUU
Molecule: transfer RNA, 65 nt
Filed under: Dollfusiella sp. MZUSP 7992
Lineage: Eukaryota; Metazoa; Platyhelminthes; Cestoda; Trypanorhyncha; Eutetrarhynchidae
Description: tRNA-Cys
Source: RNAcentral